Molecule: long non-coding RNA, 3594 nt
Filed under: Homo sapiens (human)
Lineage: Eukaryota; Metazoa; Chordata; Mammalia; Primates; Hominidae
Description: non-protein coding lnc-EDARADD-1:2
Source: RNAcentral
CUACUCAUGUGAAGUUGUAUUUUUUUAUUCUCCAUAUUACAAAACAGAACAAUUGGCACAGGGAUGAAGAAAUACUUUGCAAAACAUCUAGAGAGGUUAAAUGCCAUGAGUCUUUAAAAUGUAAGACUGCUUUCACCUGAGCAAUCUAGUGUCCAUUUCUAGAGCUAGCUUAAAUGUCCGUGUAAAUCCCCGUAAUUGGUUGGGAUAACAAUUACCUAUGUUGUAUAACUUGAGUCAAAAACUACGUUUCCACUGCCUGCCACCCCUAUGGAUGGUUUUCUCUUAAGGUAUCAAAUUUUACUGGGAAAGACCUAGAUAAAAUACAGCGAAAAUGAGGCGGGGCGUCCUGGCACAUGCCUGUAAUCCCAGCGCUUUGGGAGGCUGAGUCAGAAAGAUCUUUGAAUUCAGGAGUUCAAGACCAGCCUGGGCAAUAUAGUGAAAUCCUGUCUUUACAAAAAAUUAAAAAUUAGCCAGGCAUGGGGGCAUGGGCCUGUAGUCCCAGCUACUUGGGUUGGGUGACUGAUGUGGGAGGAUCACUUGAGCCCAGGAGGUUGAGGCUGCAGUGAGCUCUGACCAUGCCCCUGCACUCCAGCCUGGGUGACAGAGCAAGACCCAGUCUCAAAAAGAAAAGAAAAAGAGUAAUGUUAGGUCAAGGUAGAACCUACCUUGACUUUCUGUUACUAUGGAAGAUAUUCUGGGGUAUCUCUGAGAUCCAAGUAUUAUGGCACUUAAGUAAUUCCUAUCUAUUGUUCUACUUGGUUCCUCGGGAGUAAAAGUCAUAUUCAAACCAAAAAGGCUGUGGGAUUUCCAGAAUUUUAAAAGCAAUAAUAGUUAAUGUUCUCCCAUGGGAGUUACUCCACAUUUUUACAUAUGUUCCAUAUGUUAACUCAUUUAGACCUUACCUUUAUGAGGUAAGUCCUCUUCUUAUCCCCACUUUAGAGGUGGGAAAACUGAGGCACAGAAAGAGUAAGUUGCUUGCCUAAGGCCCUGUUACUAGCAGGUGGUGAAACCAGCAUUCCAACCCGGGAGUCUGGCAAAUGUGUGUGAAGAGCACACGUUUGGAAAUGACAGUCAUGAGGACACUGUAAGACUUCUGGAAUGUUUAUAAUUUCACCUUUGCUUGUUAUUUUUCCUGUCUGUUUCCCUAGAGUGAGCUGAGUGAAAAAAGAAAGAAGAAAGAAAGAAGAAAGAGAAAGAGAAAGAAAGGAGAGAAAAAGAAAAAAGAAAAGAAAAACAGAAAAAGGGAAAGAAAGAAGAAAUGAAAGAAAGAAAAGAAAAGAAGAAAGAAAAGAAAGAGAGAAAGGAAGGAAGGAAGGUGGGAGGGGAGGAAAGGAAGAAGAAAGAAAGAAGGGGGACAGAGGGAGGGAAUGAAGGAGGGAGAGAGGGAGGGAAGGAGGAAGAAAUAAAAAGAUGAGGAUCUGUAUGCUUGAGGGGUGGAGGUGGGGGGCUUGGGUGGGAGUGUGGGAUGGGCAGAAAGCUGGAGGGAGCCCUGGACCGACUGCAUUCCACAGAGGAUUGUGGGUGCAACGUAGGUGGCAGAUUGAGAAAAGCAAACAAACAAGCUCAGCCUUUGGAGCUUCGGGGAAGAAAAAAAGCUGAGCAGUGAAUGCUGGCUUCCCACGGAGAAGGCAGGCUGCUUCGCCAGCUCACAUCCUUCCGCGCACCCACUUCCUCUUUCCGGAGGUCACUUUAGAUUGCUUUAUGGCAGGAUCUCCAGGUCACAGGAAUGUUAUGUUUCGACUGGGGUUUCCCCCUCCCCUGGGAUGCCUGGGCCAGCUCCCCAAGGGCUAGUCUCUGUCCCAGGCCCCACACUCCCAUAGCACUCAGCAAAAGCCUAGAGAGAGCACCGCAAAAUGCCAAACGCAACAGGACCGCGUAGGAAGAAGACGCUUGGAAUGACAGGGACACUAGAACUGCCCAUGGUCGUGGUCUCAAAUUUUUGUUCCAUGGUCUGAAAUACUAAAAGUUCUUAAACAGCUACUUGAUUUCAUACUAUUGUUUUGAAGAAAACAGUGUUUGUUUGUUGUUUUGUUUGUUUGUUUGUUUGAGACAGAGUUUUGCUCUUGUUGCCGAGUUUGGUCCAUGUUGGUCAGGCUGGUCUCGAACUCCUGACAUCAGGUAAUCCACCCACCUCUGCCUCCCAAAGUGCUGGGAUUACAGGAAAACAGUUGUUUCUUUAAAACAAUUAUAUAGGCUGGGCACGGUAGCUCAUGCCUGUAAUCCCAGCACUUUGGGAGGCUGAGGUGGGUGAAUUACCUGAGGUCAGCAGUUCGAGACCAGCCUGGCCAACAUGGUGAACCUCCGUCUCUACUAAAAAUGCAAAAAAUUAGCCGGGCGUGGUGGUGCAUUCCUGUAAUACCAGGUACUCAGGAGGCUGAGGCAGGAGAAUCACUUGAACCCAGGAGGUGGAGGUUGCAGUGAGCUGAGAUGGCACCACUGCACUCCAGCCUGGGCAACAAGAGCAAAACUCCAUCUCACAAUCUCAAAAAAAUAAAAUAAAAUAAAAUAAAAUAAAUGGUUAUAUAAGCUACCUUAUUGAUGCAGUUACAAAUGAGCCGCUGAAACAUAUAAAUUUUAAAGAACAAGCCACAUAUCUUUCAUCACCCACAGCUUCACCAACUAAAGGUGUAUGUAGUACUUUUGUGGAAGGCAUUUCCACAUGCUUUGAGGGACCUUGAAAUACUGCUAUGAUUACAUGAUUUUUCUAAAACCAGACUACUCCUACAUUACAAGAAUUGAAAAGUUCAGAGUAAAUAUUUGUAAGACCUAGAAAAGAUGAUGUUCUUUAAAAAAAACGAUGCCCAUCUUUGUAGCGAAAAGAAAGAGAGAUCAGACUGUUACUGUGUCUAUGUAGAAACAGAAGACAUAAGAGACUCCAUUUUGAAAAAGACCUGUACUUUAAACAAUUGCUUUGCUGAGAUGUUGUUAAUUUGUAGCUUUGCCCCAGCCACUUUGACCCAACUACUUUGACCCAACCUGGAGCUCACAAAAAUAUAUGUUGUAUGAAAUCAAGGUUUAAGGGAUCUAGGGCUGUGCAGGACGUGCCUUGUUAACAAAAUGUUUGCAAGCAGUAUACUUGGUAAAAGUCAUCGCCAUUCUCUAGUCUCAAUAAACCAGGGGCACAAGGCACUGUGGAAAGCCGCAGGGACCUCUGCCCUGGAAAGCGGGGUGUUGUCCAAGGUUUCUCCCCAUGUGGUAGUCUGAAAUAUGGCCUCGUGGGAUGAGAAAGACCUGACCAUCCCCCAGCCCAACACCUGUAAAGGGUCUGUGCCGAGGUGGAUUAGUCAAAGAGGAAAGCCUCUUGCAGUUGAGAUAGAGGAAGGCCACUGUCUCCUGCCUGCCCCUGGGAACUGAAUGUCUUGGUAUAAAACCCGAUUGUACAUUUGUUCAAUUCUGAGAUAGGAGAAAAACCGCCCUAUGGCGGGAGGCGAGACAUGUUUGCAGCAAUGCUGCCUUGUUAUUCUUUACUCCACCGAGAUGUUUGGGUGGAGAGAAACAUAAAUCUGGCUUACGUGCACGUCCAGUCAUAGUAACUUCCCUUGAACUUAAUUAUGACGUAGAUUCUGUUGCUCACAUGUUCGUUGCUGACCUUCU